Molecule: ribosomal RNA, 253 nt
Filed under: uncultured bacterium
Lineage: Bacteria
Description: partial 16S ribosomal RNA
Rfam family: Bacterial small subunit ribosomal RNA
Source: RNAcentral
UACAGAGGGGGCAAGCGUUGUUCGGAAUUACUGGGCGUAAAGGGCGCGUAGGCGGCCUUUUAGGUCGAACGUGAAAUCCCUGGGCUCAACCCAGGAACUGCGUCCGAUACUGGAAGGCUUGAAUCCGGGAGAGGGAUGCGGAAUUCCAGGUGUAGCGGUGAAAUGCGUAGAUAUCUGGAGGAACACCGGUGGCGAAGGCGGCAUCCUGGACCGGUAUUGACGCUGAGGCGCGAAAGCCAGGGGAGCAAACGGG